GGUGAUAUAACCCAACUUUAAGGACAAAUUGGUGGAAAUGCUGGAUACCAAUUACACUAGCGGGACUCUGAGGGGAGAAGUCAUGCCAGGCUGAAAUGUUAUUGUUCCAUUCCAGACUCAAGCCUUGGAAAAUGCUUAACACAAAACAGGAGUUCAGAAUUCCUGUGGGAGAAGCCUACUACUUGGCGUCUCAGGAAAAAAAUAUAUAAACUUGGAUUUCAACAUGAGUGGGAGG
Cyprinodon tularosa is the source of this 235-nucleotide long non-coding RNA. RefSeq lists it as uncharacterized. The transcript has 3 exons. Lineage: Eukaryota; Metazoa; Chordata; Actinopteri; Cyprinodontiformes; Cyprinodontidae. The record is from RefSeq and is a predicted model, not a curated record.